This is a non-coding RNA of Stereum hirsutum FP-91666 SS1, 102 nucleotides long. The record is from the annotation of a RefSeq genome assembly. Lineage: Eukaryota; Fungi; Basidiomycota; Agaricomycetes; Russulales; Stereaceae.
AGCUCGAUAGCGCAACGGUAGCGCGUCACUGUCCACUUGGCUUUUUCCAUGAAUCCAAUAAUGGUUGACAUGAAGAUCUCGGUUCGACUCCGAGUUGAGCUA